CUACGGGCGGCACCAGUGGGGAAUAUUGCACAAUGGGGGAAACCCUGAUGCAGCAACGCCGCGUGGAGGAUGACACAUUUCGGUGCGUAAACUCCUUUUAUAUAGGAAGAUAAUGACGGUACUAUAUGAAUAAGCACCGGCUAACUCCGUGCCAGCAGCCGCGGUAAUAAGGAGGGUGCAAGCGUUACUCGGAAUUACUGGGCGUAAAGAGCGUGUAGGCGGGUUUGUAAGUUGGAUGUGAAAUCCUAUGGCUCAACCAUAGAACUGCAUCCAAAACUACUUACCUAGAGUGUGGGAGAGGUAGAUGGAAUUUCUGGUGUAGGGGUAAAAUCCGUAGAGAUCAGAAGGAAUACCGAUUGCGAAGGCGAUCUACUGGAACAUAACUGACGCUGAGACGCGAAAGCGUGGGGAGCAAACAGGAUUAGAUACCCCAGUAGUC
Molecule: ribosomal RNA, 439 nt
Filed under: uncultured bacterium
Lineage: Bacteria
Description: partial 16S ribosomal RNA
Rfam family: Bacterial small subunit ribosomal RNA
Source: RNAcentral